RNAcentral lists this long non-coding RNA (891 nucleotides) under Equus caballus (horse). RNAcentral's name for it is "lncRNA (ENSECAG00000056497.1)". Lineage: Eukaryota; Metazoa; Chordata; Mammalia; Perissodactyla; Equidae. The record is from RNAcentral.
UUUAAACUAUUCCAGGUCACACAGAAAGAUGGAAAACUUAAUGCCCAAACUGGGUAAUAGUAAAGGAAAAAACUUAUAUGUUAAUUUCAUUUCUAAAUCUAGACUCAAAUAUCUUCAAUGAAAUGUAAAGAUGAAAUCAAAUCCAGAAGUAUAUUUAGAAGGAAGAUCAAUCAUGGACAAGCAGAGUUUAUUGCACAAGCGGAGAACCGGGCCUCAGUGGACGCAAGCAGGAAGCGAGUCCAUUUGUUCUGAUCGCUGCUCUGACGAACGAGCUCAGCCAGCUCGUCCUUCUGUGUCCUGGGUAUUGAGAAAAAGGCGUUUGCCAGAUCAAUAGCUGCAUACCGGGUCCCUGAGUGUGUGUUAAUUUGCUCAAGCAAUGAAACCACGUCUGGAACAGCAGCUGCAAUUGGAGUCACCGCCUGGUUAAGUUUAAGGUCAAGGAGCCAAUGUGAGGAUUCUGCCAGUUGCUAAGUAUGUCUGUUCCCAAUAAGGAAGCUAGAACCAGGGAAAUGACCACACGAUGGGUUUGGGGACCCCCUGGACCCACUGUGAGAUGGACCUGAGCUAAAACUCCAUUGAUCACCUGACCUCCGUGAGCCCCUACUCUGACUGAGGGCCACACUGAUGCUUCGGAUCUUUUGGAAUCAGUGUCAGUUCAGAGCCAGUGUCCACUAAUUCCUGAGAAGUCAGAUGAUUUCCUUUCCCCCACGCGCUGGCACCCUGGUAAAGAUCCGGAGUCCUGUUGGGAAAGGCUGGGAAAAAGAUUAACAGUAUGAAUUAACAGUACAAAUCUGUGACAGUGUGGCAGGGUCCUUCCUAAGGGGCGCCUGGCCUCCCCCUCAUUCAGGACACUUGGGGUCUGUAAACUGGCACAAGUCAGGAAAUCAAUUG